UACGUAGGUGGCAAGCGUUGUCCGGAUUUACUGGGCGUAAAGGAUGCGUAGGCGGACAUUUAAGUCAGAUGUGAAAUACCCGAGCUUAACUUGGGUGCUGCAUUUGAAACUGGGUGUCUAGAGUGCAGGAGAGGUAAGUGGAAUUCCUAGUGUAGCGGUGAAAUGCGUAGAGAUUAGGAAGAACACCAGUGGCGAAGGCGCCUUACUGGACUGUAACUGACGCUGAGGCAUGAAAGCGUGGGGAGCAAACAGG
Molecule: ribosomal RNA, 253 nt
Filed under: uncultured bacterium
Lineage: Bacteria
Description: partial 16S ribosomal RNA
Rfam family: Bacterial small subunit ribosomal RNA
Source: RNAcentral